GAUGAACGCUGGCGGCGUGCCUAAUACAUGCAAGUCGAACGGUCCCGGCCCUUCGGGGUUUGGGAUAGUGGCGAACGGGUGAGUAACGCGUGGGUGACCUGCCCCGAAGCGGGGGAUAACAGCCUGAAAGGGUUGCUAAUACCCCAUGUGCUGGGUUGGCUUAGCGGCCGGCCCAGGAAAGGCGAAAGCCACUUUGGGAGGGGCCUGCGUCCCAUCAGCUAGUUGGUGUGGUAACGGCGCACCAAGGCGAUGACGGGUAGGGGACCUGAGAGGGUGGCCCCCCACAAUGGAACUGAAACACGGUCCAUACACCUACGGGUGGCAGCAGUAGGGAAUAUUGCAAAAUGGGCGCAAGCCUGAUGCAGCAACGCCGCGUGGGCGAUGAAGGCCUUCGGGUCGUAAAGCCCUUUUGGGAGGGACGAGGAAGGACGGUACCUCCCGAAUAAGCCUCGGCUAACUACGUG
This 464-nucleotide ribosomal RNA is filed under the name uncultured bacterium. RNAcentral describes it as "bacterial SSU rRNA". It matches the Rfam family "Bacterial small subunit ribosomal RNA", at positions 28 to 507 of the family's 1533-position model. The record is from RNAcentral.